GAUGAACGCUGGCGGCGUGCCUAACACAUGCAAGUCGACCGAAGCACUUUUACAGAUUUCUUCUGACUGAAGUUUUGUUGACUGAGUGGCGGACGGGUGAGUAACGCGUGGGUCUCCUGCCUCACACAGGGGGCUCACAGUGUGAAACGGCUGCUAAUCCCGCUUAAGCGCACAGUACCGCAUGGUACGCCGUGCAAAACUCCGGUGGUGUGAGAUGGACCCGCGUCUGAUUAGCUAGUUGGCAGGGAAACGGCAUACCAAGGCGACGAUCAGUAGCCGACCUGAGAGGGUGACCGGCCACAUUGGGACUGAGACACGGCCCAAACUCCUACGGGAGGCAGCAGUGGGGAAUAUUGCACAAUGGGGGAAACCCUGAUGCAGCGACGCCGCGUGAGCGAAGAAGUAUUUCGGUAUGUAAAGCUCUAUCAGCAGGGAAGUAGAAAUGACGGGACCUGACUAAGAAGCACCGGCUAAAUACGUGCCAGCAGCCGCCGUAA
RNAcentral lists this ribosomal RNA (497 nucleotides) under uncultured bacterium. RNAcentral describes it as "partial 16S ribosomal RNA". It matches the Rfam family "Bacterial small subunit ribosomal RNA", at positions 28 to 523 of the family's 1533-position model. The record is from RNAcentral.